UACGUAGGGUGCAAGCGUUGUCCGGAAUUAUUGGGCGUAAAGAGCUCGUAGGCGGCUUGUCACGUCGACUGUGAAACCUCCAGGCUCAACCUGGAGACGCCACUUGAUACUUCUAUGGCUUGAGUUCGGUAGGGGAUCACGGAAUUCCUGGUGUAGCGGUGGAAUGCGCAGAUAUCAGGAGGAACACCGGUGGCGAAGGCGGGUCUCUGGGCAGUAACUGACGCUGAGGAGCGAAAGCGUGGGGAGCGAACAGG
This 254-nucleotide ribosomal RNA is filed under the name uncultured bacterium. RNAcentral's name for it is "partial 16S ribosomal RNA". It matches the Rfam family "Bacterial small subunit ribosomal RNA", at positions 524 to 776 of the family's 1533-position model. The record is from RNAcentral.